UACGGAGGAUGCAAGCGUUAUCCGGAUUUAUUGGGCGUAAAGCGUCCGCAGGUGGUUUUCCACGUCUGCUGUUAAAGCGCGAGGCUUAACCUCGUACAGGCAGUGGAAACUGGAUGACUAGAGUAUGGUAGGGGUAGCGGGAAUUCCCAGUGUAGCGGUGAAAUGCGUAGAUAUUGGGAAGAACACCAGCGGCGAAAGCGCGCUACUGGGCCAUUACUGACACUCAUGGACGAAAGCUAGGGGAGCGAAAGGG
This 253-nucleotide ribosomal RNA is filed under the name uncultured bacterium. Its description in RNAcentral is "partial 16S ribosomal RNA". It matches the Rfam family "Bacterial small subunit ribosomal RNA", at positions 524 to 776 of the family's 1533-position model. The record is from RNAcentral.